CGCGUAGGUGGUUUGAUAAGGGUGUGGUGAAAGCCCGGGGCUCAACCCCGGGUCUGCCGUGCCGACUGUCAAACUCGAGGGCUGUAGAGGCAGACGGAAUUCCGGGUGUAGCGGUGGAAUGCGUAGAGAUCCGGGAGGAAGACCGGUGGCGAAGGCGGUCUGCUGGGCAGUUUCUGACACUGAUGCGCGACAGCGUGGGGAGCAAACA
This 208-nucleotide ribosomal RNA is filed under the name uncultured bacterium. Its description in RNAcentral is "partial 16S ribosomal RNA". It matches the Rfam family "Bacterial small subunit ribosomal RNA", at positions 568 to 774 of the family's 1533-position model. The record is from RNAcentral.